UUUUAUUUAAGAUUGUCCUUCUAAUGAUGCUGUUUUUGAAGUGGGAAUACUUUUAUUUAUUUUGCUUUAGAACCAGCCUCUUAGAGGAAGUGAUUUAGGAAUGGGAGUGGAGGGCAGGUGGGCUAGGGCAGGGGGAAAAGGAGGGAAGAUUUUUGGAAGCCCUUCUCUGCUACGGAGCCUCACAAAUCCUGGCCUGAUCUCCGCGGCCCCAGUGUAUCCCAUAUGCAGUGUUGCUGGAGGCUCUUGCCCUGCGUAAUGUGCGGCAGCUGGAAGACCUUGUGAUUGAGGCUGUGUAUGCUGACGUGCUUCGUGGCUCCCUGGACCAGCGCAACCAGCGGCUCGAGGUUGACUACAGCAUCGGGCGGGACAUCCAGCACCAGGACCUCAGUGCCAUUGCCCGAACCCUGCAGGAAUGGUGUGUGGGCUGUGAGGUUGUGCUGUCAGGCAUUGAGGAGCAGGUGAGCCGUGCCAACCAACACAAGGAGCAGCAGCUGGGCCUGAAGCAGCAGAUUGAGAGUGAGGUUGCCAACCUUAAAAAAACCAUUAAAGUUACGAC
RNAcentral lists this small RNA (556 nucleotides) under Pan troglodytes (chimpanzee). RNAcentral describes it as "retained intron". Lineage: Eukaryota; Metazoa; Chordata; Mammalia; Primates; Hominidae. The record is from RNAcentral.